AUGAUGUGGCUUGAUGGGGUUUUAGCUAGAAUCAGGAUAAGUGCGCACUUAUUAUUCUGGUUAUUCUAGGUAGAAGUCCAUCUAAGCUAAAAAUAUGAGGAUUUUUAUGCAAUCUGGCACAGGUCCGAGACCUCAUAGGAACUGGAGCCUUUUUUCGCCAUUAUAAUACACGGAACAUACUGUGGACCCAACUUGGCGUUGAAGAUUUUGCUUGCUGACGAUUGACCAAAGGUUCGCUUGAAGACCCUCUGACCAAUGUCGAAGGUUGGAUAUCUCCCUCACUAACGUCGACCGUUUCGACGAAGUCCGUCCAUUAAAAGUUAUUGGCGAGUUCGGAGUCUUCUCUCCAACUGACUACGCGGAGCAUCCAGGUUUAUGUUGCGAAUUUGAAGUUAGUGUUCAAGCUCAUCCACCGCUAAGUGGGCUGUAUUCAUCGCAUGAUACUGCGCUGCUAAAUGAGAGUGUUCCAUCGCUACGAAAUGCGUUCAAUCAAAGGAAUAUUCUGAAUAAUAAAAAUGUCAACUUAGAAACGAAAUCAGUUUGCACAUUUUCCUUGUGAAAGCAAAUUUAUUUUUAAAAUUUACAACUUAGCUAUGU
Molecule: long non-coding RNA, 597 nt
Organism: Topomyia yanbarensis
Lineage: Eukaryota; Metazoa; Arthropoda; Insecta; Diptera; Culicidae
Exons: 4
Source: RefSeq, a predicted model, not a curated record